This 364-nucleotide unclassified non-coding RNA is filed under the name plant metagenome. RNAcentral describes it as "partial contains small subunit ribosomal RNA, internal transcribed spacer 1, and 5.8S ribosomal RNA". The record is from RNAcentral.
UUUCCGUAGGUGAACCUGCGGAAGGAUCAUUAACACUUAUCUUUCUUUUUUUUUUUUAAAGUUUCUUUUUUCCUCAAAAAGAAAAUUUUUUUUAAAAAAAACCCUUUCCCAGUGCGGUUCUACUCUUGAAAAAAUUUUUUUUCUUGUCUGAUAGUGAAGUUAAAAGCUCCGUUCAGCUAAGAAAGGAAUUUUUUUUUUUUUUUUUUUCUCAUAUCAAACCAAAAAACUAAAAAAUUAUUUUUUUCUUUUUUUGGUUAGUUAAAUUCAAAUUUACCCAUAUCAAAAAAUUUUCAAAAAAAAAACUAAGAUAAACUUUAAAAAAAAAAAUAAGAUACAACUCUUAACAAUGGAUAUCUUGGUUCUC